This 1495-nucleotide ribosomal RNA is filed under the name uncultured bacterium. RNAcentral describes it as "partial 16S ribosomal RNA". It matches the Rfam family "Bacterial small subunit ribosomal RNA". The record is from RNAcentral.
AGAGUUUGAUCCUGGCUCAGAUUGAACGCUGGCGGCAGGCUUAACACAUGCAAGUCGAGCGGGGAAGAGUAGCUUGCUACUUAACCUAGCGGCGGACGGGGGAGUAAUGCUUAGGAAUCUGCCUAUUAGUGGGGGACAACAUCUCGAAAGGGAUGCUAAUACCGCAUACGUCCUACGGGAGAAAGCAGGGGACCUUCGGGCCUUGCGCUAAUAGAUGAGCCUAAGUCGGAUUAGCUAGUUGGUGGGGUAAAGGCCUACCAAGGCGACGAUCUGUAGCGGGUCUGAGAGGAUGAUCCGCCACACUGGGACUGAGACACGGACCAGACUCCUACGGGAGGCAGCAGUGAGGAAUAUUGGUCAAUGGACGCAAGUCUGAACCAGCCAUGCCGCGUGCAGGAUGACGGUCCUAUGGAUUGUAAACUGCUUUUGUACAGGAAGAAACAGUUCUACGUGUAGAACCUUGACGGUACUGUAAGAAUAAGGAUCGGCUAACUCCGUGCCAGCAGCCGCGGUAAUACGGAGGAUCCAAGCGUUAUCCGGAAUCAUUGGGUUUAAAGGGUCCGUAGGCGGUUUAGUAAGUCAGUGGUGAAAGCCCAUCGCUCAACGGUGGAACGGCCAUUGAUACUGCUAGACUUGAAUUAUUAGGAAGUAACUAGAAUAUGUAGUGUAGCGGUGAAAUGCUUAGAGAUUACAUGGAAUACCAAUUGCGAAGGCAGGUUACUACUAAUGGAUUGACGCUGAUGGACGAAAGCGUGGGUAGCGAACAGGAUUAGAUACCCUGGUAGUCCACGCCGUAAACGAUGGAUACUAGCUGUUGGGGGCAACUUCUGCUUUAGUGGCGCAGCUAACGCGAUAAGUAGACCGCCUGGGGAGUACGGUCGCAAGACUAAAACUCAAAUGAAUUGACGGGGGCCCGCACAAGCGGUGGAGCAUGUGGUUUAAUUCGAUGCAACGCGAAGAACCUUACCUGGCCUUGACAUACAGAGAACUUUCCAGAGAUGGAUUGGUGCUUUCGGGAGCAUAGAGACAGGUGCUGCAUGGCUGUCGUCAGCUCGUGUCGUGAGAUGUUGGGUUAAGUCCCGUAACGAGCGCAACCCUUGUCCUUAGUUACCAGCACGUUAUGGUGGGCACUCUAAGGAGACUGCCGGUGACAAACCGGAGGAAGGUGGGGAUGACGUCAAGUCAUCAUGGCCCUUACGGCCAGGGCUACACACGUGCUACAAUGGUCGGUACAAAGGGUCGCCAAGCCGCGAGGUGGAGCUAAUCCCAUAAAACCGAUCGUAGUCCGGAUCGCAGUCUGCAACUCGACUGCGUGAAGUCGGAAUCGCUAGUAAUCGUGAAUCAGAAUGUCACGGUGAAUACGUUCCCGGGCCUUGUACACACCGCCCGUCACACCAUGGGAGUGGGUUGCACCAGAAGUAGCUAGUCUAACCUUCGGGGGGACGGUUACCACGGUGUGAUUCAUGACUGGGGUGAAGUCGUAACAAGGUAACCU